This 411-nucleotide ribosomal RNA is filed under the name uncultured fungus. RNAcentral describes it as "bacterial SSU rRNA". It matches the Rfam family "Eukaryotic small subunit ribosomal RNA", at positions 21 to 375 of the family's 1831-position model. Lineage: Eukaryota; Fungi. The record is from RNAcentral.
UGUAGUCAUAUGCUUGUCUCAAAGAUUAAGCCAUGCAUGUCUCAGUACAAGCCAAAUUAAGGUGAAACCGCGAAAGGCUCAUUAAAUCAGUUAUGGUUUCUUAGAUCGUACCCACAUUUACUUGGAUAACUGUGGUAAUUCUAGAGCUAAUACAUGCAAAUAGAGUUCCGACCGGAAACGGAAGGAACGCUUUUAUUAGAUCAAAACCAAUCGGUGGCGGGCUUGCUCGUCAUCGUACAACUUGGUGACUCUGAAUAACUUUACGCUGAUCGCACGGUCUCGCACCGGCGACGCAUCUUUCAAAUGCCUGCCUUAUCAACUGUCGAUGGUAGGUUCUGCGCCUACCAUGGUUGCAACGGGUAACGGGGAAUGGGGCGGGGGCGGCGGGCCGGGCGCGGGGCACGGCGGGCG